GCACCCCCCGCACGUCUGGCGCCUAUGAUCCAUUGUGCUGCCGAUGUGAAGAUGUGGCGCCGCCAGCAGCUCUGCAGUCGCACAUCUGAGCAGAGCCGCCUGCGGUAGCACCGGGGCGGGUGCACUGCGGGCUGCGGCGCGGGCACUGUGACUGUUGGUGGGGCACUGUAGUCAGCGUAUGUAUGACAGCCCCUAAGAAAUAUGGCGGCCGCUCCGGGAGGACGGCUGCUGCGCAUGCCCGGCUGCAGCAGCUCCUCCUCCCAUGGUCCUUUGCGGAGUCAGUGAGACUCCGGGCACUGCGCCACCACUGAGCCUGGACCCUGCUAGUAUUCUGUCAGAAGAGGAGGACGUACCAUACAACCGAUCCCCACAUAUAAGUGAUCACCAGCAAUACAUGUGGGCCCGGGGGCGGGGCGGAACGGAGAGCCGCGAGUGCUGUCAGAGCAGUGUACACUGCUUCCUCUCCCCUCUCUUUCUCCUCAACGCUGCAGGUCAUCAGAAAUUAUGGUGGAGCCGAUGGAAGCACCUUUAUUCAGGAUCUGCAGCUCUGAUCUGCUGCGUCCUGUGUGCUGCCUGAGCUCCUCCUCCGCUGGGUGCAGCUCAUUCACAAUCUGAGAUCACAAUCCCUACCUGCCUUUAACUGUUUUGCAAGAGCCAGGCUGAAAGACAUAUCUGCAAGGUGGCUGGACCAGCAAAUGUCACGGGACCAACAAGUGACGGUGGAAUACCAAGCUCUGGCAUCUGGAUAGGCCCGAAGCUGAGGCCUGGAUUUCCCGACUCCCGGACCAUCCUCUGCUGCGACCACACCAAUGCUGCUGUGUGCUGGGCCCGUUUGACACCAAGAGCGUAGCUACCGUACGUGCAUGCAGUGAAGCUGCUAUAGGGCCCAGAGCUGAGAAGGGCCACCUUACCUGUGAAAGUUACAUGUGUUAUAUACAUUUUUCAUCAUUGAGUGGUACGCAGGGAUCCUUUUAAACUUUUUCCUUGGGGCCUGCAAUAUAUCUGGGUAUGCCCCAGGACCUGCUCAUUGUAGUGUAGUAUAAAAUGAACUGGAGGGCAUUUUAAUGUUAUAGAAUAUGAACCGGGCACUGUAAUGAGCCACAGUAUGAACGGGGAGCACUAUAUAUCAUAAUGUGAAUUGGGGAUACUGUGCGGCAUAAUGGGUACUGGCAGCUCUGAAAUGUAACAUAGGGUGAACUUAUGCACUACUGCAAUUCAUCAAAAGAAACUAGGUCACUACUAUCAUUAAAUAAAGCUCUUCUAUGGUUCAGAAAA
Long non-coding RNA from Pseudophryne corroboree (corroboree frog), 1275 nucleotides. RefSeq lists it as uncharacterized. The record is from RefSeq and is a predicted model, not a curated record. Lineage: Eukaryota; Metazoa; Chordata; Amphibia; Anura; Myobatrachidae. The transcript is spliced from 2 exons.